RNAcentral lists this ribosomal RNA (490 nucleotides) under uncultured bacterium. RNAcentral's name for it is "partial 16S ribosomal RNA". It matches the Rfam family "Bacterial small subunit ribosomal RNA", at positions 28 to 507 of the family's 1533-position model. The record is from RNAcentral.
GAUGAACGCUAGCUACAGGCUUAAUACAUGCAAGUCGCGGGGCAGCAUGGGGGUUGCUUGCAAUCCCCGAUGGCGACCGGCGCACGGGUGAGUAACGCGUAUCCAACCUGCCCUUCACCACGGGAUAACCCGGCGAAAGUCGGACUAAUACCGUAUGUUGUCCAUUGACGGCAUCCGAUUUGGACGAAAGGUUUGGCGGUGAAGGAUGGGGAUGCGUCCGAUUAGCUGGACGGCGGGGUGACGGCCCACCGUGGCGACGAUCGGUAGGGGUUCUGAGAGGAAGGUCCCCCACACUGGAACUGAGACACGGUCCAGACUCCUACGGGAGGCAGCAGUGAGGAAUAUUGGUCAAUGGGCGUAAGCCUGAACCAGCCAAGUAGCGUGCAGGAUGACGGCCCUAUGGGUUGUAAACUGCUUUUAUGCGGGGAUAAAGUGGCCCACGUGUGGGUUUUUGCAGGUACCGCAUGAAUAAGGACCGGCUAAUUCCGUG